GACGAACGCUGGCGGCGUGCCUAACACAUGCAAGUCGAGCGGUAGAUAAAAGCUUGCUUUUACUAUAGCGGCGGACGGGUGAGUAACACNUNGGGCAACCUACCUCANAGUGGGGGAUACCUCCCGANAGGGAGAUUAAUACCGCAUAACANCNUGAUGUCACAUGACUUAUGAUCAAAGGANUAUCCGCUNUGAGAUGGGCCCGCGGCGCAUUANCUANUUGGGUGAGGUAACNGCCACCAAGGCAACGAUGCGUAACCGACCUGAUANGGUGAUCGGCCACUCGGAACUGAAAUACGGCCGGAANC
This 308-nucleotide ribosomal RNA is filed under the name uncultured bacterium T27118c. RNAcentral describes it as "partial 16S ribosomal RNA". It matches the Rfam family "Bacterial small subunit ribosomal RNA", at positions 28 to 338 of the family's 1533-position model. The record is from RNAcentral.